Melospiza melodia melodia is the source of this 387-nucleotide non-coding RNA. The record is from the annotation of a RefSeq genome assembly. NCBI's taxonomy places the organism in Eukaryota, Metazoa, Chordata, Aves, Passeriformes, Passerellidae.
CGGGCGGCCGUGACCCUGCUGGAGUGCGGGGGGGACCUCCAGCCCCCCGGGGGGUCCCUGCGCCUCCUCUGCCGAGGGUCCGGGUUCGAUUUCGGACAAUUUGGGAUGUACUGGUUUCGCCAGAGACCCGGGCAGGGGCUGGAAUACAUCGCCAGUAUCAACAGCAAUGGUGGCAGCACCGUCUACGCGCCGUCGGUCAAGGGCCGGUUCACGAUCUCCAGGGACAACGGGCAGAGCUCGGUGACGCUGACCAUGAACAACCUCAGGGACGAGGAUUCCGGAUCCUAUUUCUGUGCCAAACGGGACAAUGGUUAUGCUGGUGGUAAUGCUGCUGCUCUUUUUGCCAUCACUCCUGGUGGUGACCAUGAGGGUGCUCCCGGGCCCUGA